GACGAACGCUGGCGGCGUGCCUAAUACAUGCAAGUAGAACGCAGUGGCGAACGGGUGAGUAACGCGUAGGUAACCUGCCUCAUAGCUGGGGGUAACUAUUGGAAACGAUAGCUAAUACCGCAUACUGUGUGAUAGACCUGCUUUGUAUUAGCUAGUGGGUGAGGUAAAGGGUCACCAAGGCGACGAUACAUAGCCGACCUGAGAGGGUGAUCGGCCACACUGGAACGGAGACACGGCCCAGACUCCUACGGGAGGCAGCAGUAGGGAAUCUUCGGCAAUGGACGGAAGUCUGAUGGAGCAAAGCCGCGUGAGUGAAGAAGGUUUUCGGAUCGUAAAGCUCUGUUGUUAGAGAAGGGGUAACUAACAAGAAAGGGACGGCGAACUACGUGCCAGCAGCCGCGUGAAUG
This 407-nucleotide ribosomal RNA is filed under the name uncultured bacterium. RNAcentral describes it as "partial 16S ribosomal RNA". It matches the Rfam family "Bacterial small subunit ribosomal RNA", at positions 28 to 525 of the family's 1533-position model. The record is from RNAcentral.